GAUGAACGCUGGCGGCGUGCCUAAUACAUGCAAGUCGAGCGAAUGGAUUAAGAGCUUGCUCUUAUGAAGUUAGCGGCGGACGGGUGAGUAACACGUGAGUAACCCGCCCAUAAGACUGGGAUAACUCCGGGAAACCGGGGCUAAUACCGGAUAACAUUUUGAACCGCAUGGUUCGAAAUUGAAAGGCGGCUUCGGCUGUCACUUAUGGAUGGACCCGCGUCGCAUUAGCUAGUUGGUGAGGUAACGGCUCACCAAGGCAACGAUGCGUAGCCGACCUGGGAGGGUGAUCGGCCACACUGGGACUGAGACACGGCCCAGACUCCUACGGGAGGCAGCAGUAGGGAAUCUUCCGCAAUGGACGAAAGUCUGACGGAGCAACGCCGCGUGAGUGAUGAAGGCUUUCGGGUCGUAAAACUCUGUUGUUAGGGAAGAACAAGUGCUAGUUGAAUAAGCUGGCACCUUGACGGUACCUAACCAGAAAGCCACGGCUAACUACGUGCCAGCCGCCGCUGUAA
Molecule: ribosomal RNA, 515 nt
Filed under: uncultured bacterium
Lineage: Bacteria
Description: partial 16S ribosomal RNA
Rfam family: Bacterial small subunit ribosomal RNA
Source: RNAcentral